UCAACGGAUAAAAGCUACCCCGGGGAUAACAGGCUUAUCUCCCCCAAGAGUCCACAUCGACGGGGAGGUUUGGCACCUCGAUGUCGGCUCAUCGCAUCCUGGGGCUGUAGUCGGUCCCAAGGGUUGGGCUGUUCGCCCAUUAAAGCGGUACGCGAGCUGGGUUCAGAACGUCGUGAGACAGUUCGGUCCCUAUCCGUCGUGGGCGUAGGAAAUUUGAGAGGAGCUGUCCUUAGUACGAGAGGACCGGGAUGGACGCACCGCUGGUGUACCAGUUGUUCUGCCAAGGGCAUAGCUGGGUAGCUAUGUGCGGAAGGGAUAAGUGCUGAAAGCAUCUAAGCAUGAAGCCCCCCUCAAGAUGAGAUUUCCCAUAGCGUAAGCUAGUAAGAUCCCUGAAAGAUGAUCAGGUUGAUAGGUUCGAGGUGGAAGCAUGGUGACAUGUGGAGCUGACGAAUACUAAUAGAUCGAGGACUUAACCAUAUAA
RNAcentral lists this ribosomal RNA (481 nucleotides) under Bacillus cereus. RNAcentral's name for it is "bacterial LSU rRNA". It matches the Rfam family "Bacterial large subunit ribosomal RNA", at positions 2449 to 2925 of the family's 2925-position model. Lineage: Bacteria; Bacillati; Bacillota; Bacilli; Caryophanales; Bacillaceae. The record is from RNAcentral.